GCCCACAUAGCUCAGCUGGUAGAGCAGCACAUUCGUAACGUGCAGGCCAUCGGUUCAAUCCCGGUUGUGGGCUCAA
RNAcentral lists this transfer RNA (76 nucleotides) under Candidatus Moraniibacteriota bacterium. RNAcentral describes it as "Candidatus Moranbacteria bacterium tRNA-Thr". It matches the Rfam family "tRNA". From Rfam's summary of the family: Transfer RNA (tRNA) molecules are approximately 80 nucleotides in length. Their secondary structure includes four short double-helical elements and three loops (D, anti-codon, and T loops). The record is from RNAcentral. Lineage: Bacteria; Candidatus Moraniibacteriota.